Molecule: ribosomal RNA, 460 nt
Filed under: uncultured bacterium
Lineage: Bacteria
Description: partial 16S ribosomal RNA
Rfam family: Bacterial small subunit ribosomal RNA
Source: RNAcentral
CCUACGGGAGGCAGCAGUGAGGAAUAUUGGUCAAUGGGCGCGAGCCUGAACCAGCCAAGCCGCGUGAAGGAUGACUGCCCUACGGGUUGUAAACUUCUUUUAUAAAGGAAUAAAGUGAGGCACGUGUGCCUGUUUGUAUGUACUUUAUGAAUAAGGAUCGGCUAACUCCGUGCCAGCAGCCCCGGUAAUACGGAGGAUCCGAGCGUUAUCCGGAUUUAUUGGGUUUAAAGGGAGCGUAGAUGGGUUGUUAAGUCAGGUGUGAAAGCUUGCGGCUCAACCGUAGAAGUGCAAUUGAUACUGGCAGGCUUGAGUGCAGUUGAGGUAGGCGGAAUGCGUGGUGUAGCGGUGAAAUGCUUAGAUAUCACGAAGAACUCCGAUUGCGAAGGCAGCUUACUAAACUGCCACUGACGUUGAUGCACGAAAGUGUGGGUAUCAAACAGGAUUAGAUACCCUUGUAGUC